UGCUGAGUUCCCCCCUCUUUCCCUACAGUAGAGUGGGAAAAACGAGAGGAGCGUGGGUCUCUUGUGCUUUGGAAGCCGCCUGGGUUACUCCCAAGUCCACAAACAAGGGCUGCUGAGUGGCAUAUGGCUGAGGCCCACACUGAACAGCUGGCUGGUUGGUGGUGCCCAGAAGAUGCCCGACAGCCAGCUCCUUUGGCUGACGUAAUUUCAAGCAGGGGAGACAGUCCUGCAAGUUAAACAGCGGCUGCUAAAGGAUAAGGAGGUGAGGAUCAAGAAAGUACUAAAGAAGCUUGCCACAAAAACGGUGUCUGCUACACGGAUAGCGGCAGUGCUGUGAGCUUGUGGGGUUUCACCAACUCUGGUGAGGACUCGGGCAUGGGAUGGCUGCCCAGGGUGUGGGUGUGCGGGUGUGUGUAGUGGGGGAAUACAGACUGAAGGGGUACCACAGACUGAUGGAACAUGAAGAGACUGUGGCAAGGUCGCUCAGGGGUCAGGAUGGGUAAUGGUGCACCCUGACGCUUACUUGGGCAGUGGUGGUCAGGGCUAGGACUCUCUACUUCCUGAAGUGCCCCUGGGAACAAUCCCCCACAGGGCAUCUCACUCCUGCUCUCCUGUCUGCCCACCUGUUGGGAGGUCUGUGUGCUGCAUUUAUGCUGAGCAAACCUCAGUGGAGCAUUCAAACUCAAAGGCCCUUGGUGCUGAGCCUGGAACCUUGCAGGCUGCGGGAGUUGAUGUCACCAUGGACCGGACCAACCUUCCCCGGGCCAGUGAUUGCCACAUGCUCAUCACCUGCUGAAAGACGCCGCCCGCCCCCCCACCCCCACCCCAGGAGCCGGCAGACAUAGCAGAUUACAUGGUGUACUGCUCACCACAAUGUCAUCAGCUCUAAACUACCAGCUGCUCCGAGGGAGGACCAUGAAUGGCAGUCUCUCCAGUAAAGACUGACAGUCUCAGAACCCAUUGGGGGCACUUCUAUCUGACCUGUCAGGUCAACAGAAGGCUGCUCACCACAGGGGCAGUUUCAACCACAAAAGCCAAAACCUUUGUAACGUGCUGUCUCCUGUGCCCUCCAGGUUCAGUGUCAACAGCCCACCACACCACCAGAGACGGGGCUAGCUUACCACAUUAAGCCUUGUCCUCUGACAUCAACCCCAUGUGGUUUGCCUUCUCCCGAGCCCAACUGGGGAUGCAGCACCAGCCUCUGACCUUUGGCUUACAAGUCACCUCUUUCACUGCCACCCUGGUAGAUGUGGCCUGUGCAGUGAGAGUGGCCCCUCAUGGGCCAGCUGUGAAGUGGGUGAGGGGGUACGUUAGAGGUUCCUAUAGGAACACCCAGACGCCACCAAGGGCAGAGAGGUCAUGCACAGGGAACCCAGCUGGGACAGACCAGGCACCAAGGGUCCCACCUGGGGCAGGCUGUGUGUUCACUCUGAGAUUACAGGUGAUGCGUUCAGUCUGCAUUGAUGUCAGGUGGCAAGGCUGAUUGAGGUUUGAGUCUCCUCUUGGGAAGCCCCCUACAUCGGCCUUCAGGCUGCCAGCUGAUUUGCUUAGGCCCACUACUCAGCCCUUGAGUUCAGCCCUGCUGAGGAUGAGCACUGACUGUACAGGACACCUGCAGCCCCAACUCCCAGCCCUGGUGUAGCUGAAAGGGCACAAGUAGGUGACAUUCACAAACAGGGGCCUCACGGUUCACAUGGUGAGCUCAGGGGAGGCCCCCUCAGUUCUUGGCUCCUUGUAGAGCCCUGGUAGAGUCUGUCCUCCACCUCCCCUGCUUGGUGGCUUUCUGGCUCAGCUGCACUCUUAACCAGCAUAUUUGGAGAACAUAUCCUGUCUACAGGAUUCCUCCAGUGACUCCCAGUGCCUAACUCCUCUCUGACCAUGUCUGUCACCUCCACCCUCUAUCAUCUCUGUUCCCUCUGUCUCUGCCCUCUCUACUUCUCUCCUCACACAUCUGUCCACCCACCGCCCACAGCCAGCCCACUCCUCUCUAUCCCAUCCACCCUGCAUAUCCCUCACCAGCUGUCCCUGUUCCCUGGUGGCCUGUAGAGUGAUAUCGCACAAACUCGCCCUCUUUGGUGCUCUAGCUUUUGGUACAGGGCAGGGGUGGGCUGUCCUGUGCUGACCAUGCAGGCUUCCCCAGUCUGUGAGACAUCAGCCACCCUGAGAUGGCGCUGCAGAAGACGAGCAUCCUGUCUUGUGGUGGAUAGCCUAUGUCUGUCCACCCCACUGCUGGGGGCACUCCUGAGGGUGCACGUGGACCUGGUGUCACAACUAUGCCAGCAGAAAUGCCAUAGGGUGGGGGGCACAAAGGUGUAACCCUCCUGACCCCAAUCAAUUUGCCUUCUCAGGCCACCUAAGGGCUCGUCCCUCCACCCACAUUCCAGGCUGCCUUUCCAGCCACCCCACCUUCCCCUGGACGUCCACGGCCCUCCUGUCACACAGGCAACCAGCAGAAUUCUGCUGCCCUGGAGGCCGGCUGCGCAGUCAGGUUGAUGGAUGAAAAUCUGGGCCUGCGCGGUGUGGAGGACCAGCAAGCAUGAGCAAGCCUGUCCCGAGGACCCUGGGUCACCAGUGGGCUGCAGGGCUUGAGGUGGCCCCUGGAAGAUGUAGUCCUGAACGCGACCUAGCAGCGACUUUUCACCCUCCAGAUAUGGCUGGCCAGGGUGCAGCUGAAGUCAGGGAGGGAUUGGUUGGGGGCAGAGCUGAGUUGAUGGGGUAGCUGCAGUUAGGGGUAUAGCUGAGGU
Molecule: long non-coding RNA, 2744 nt
Organism: Echinops telfairi (small Madagascar hedgehog)
Lineage: Eukaryota; Metazoa; Chordata; Mammalia; Afrosoricida; Tenrecidae
Exons: 3
Source: RefSeq, a predicted model, not a curated record